CCAAUAGCGUAUAUUAAAGUUGUUGCAGUUAAAAAGCUCGUAGUUGAAUUUCGGGAUUAGUACGCUGGUCGUGCCUUCGGUAUGUACUGGUGUUACUGGUUCCUACCUUCUGACGAACCGUCAUGUCAUUAAUUUGGUGUGGCGGGAAAUCAGGACUGUUACUUUGAAAAAAUUAGAGUGUUUAAAGCAGGCUCGCGCUUGAAUACAUUAGCAUGGAAUAAUGAAAUAGGACGUUCGAUCCUAUUUUGUUGGUUUCUAGGAUUGACGUAAUGAUUAAUAGGGAUAGUUGGGGGCAUUAGUAUUCAAUUGUCAGAGGUGAAAUUCUUGGAUUUAUUGAAGACUAACUACUGCGAAAGCAUUUGCCAAGGAUGUUUUCAUUAAUCAAGAACGAAAGUUAGGGGAUCGAAGACGAUCAGAUACCGUCGUAGUCUUAACCAGAAACUAUGCCGACUAGGGAUCGGAUGAUGUUAUUUUUAAUGACUCAUUCGGCGCCUUACG
RNAcentral lists this unclassified non-coding RNA (498 nucleotides) under uncultured Glomus. RNAcentral's name for it is "SSU rRNA". It matches the Rfam family "Eukaryotic small subunit ribosomal RNA", at positions 591 to 1092 of the family's 1831-position model. Lineage: Eukaryota; Fungi; Glomeromycota; Glomeromycetes; Glomerales; Glomeraceae. The record is from RNAcentral.